AUGAGAUUGAGAGAGAGGAUGAGAAGGGAGGAUGGGAGGGAGGAGUAACAAAAGUGAAAAUAAAAAAUUGAAAGUGAAAACAGUUUCAAAUACAUUUCAAUUUUCCGUUUUUGUUUUCACUUUUGUUACUCCUCCCCCCCAUCCUACCCUCUCAUCUUCCCUCUCAAUCCCAUC
Molecule: microRNA precursor, 174 nt
Filed under: Prunus dulcis (almond)
Lineage: Eukaryota; Viridiplantae; Streptophyta; Magnoliopsida; Rosales; Rosaceae
Description: sRNA ncRNA
Source: RNAcentral